This 18633-nucleotide long non-coding RNA is filed under the name Coffea arabica (coffee). RNAcentral's name for it is "long non-coding RNA (CARA_LNC003998)". The record is from RNAcentral. Lineage: Eukaryota; Viridiplantae; Streptophyta; Magnoliopsida; Gentianales; Rubiaceae.
UUUUUUUUUUUUUUUUUUUUUUUUUGGUUUUGGGAAGGAGGAACGAAGGGGUGCUCUUGUUAUUUGCUGGGGUUUGUUACCUGGGGAAAAGAAAGGAAUGAUGAUGAGUUGAUGCUUCGGGUGGAAAACGGACAGGUAAAUGUGUGUGGCUUUUCGUUUUGGAGAGAGAGAGAGAGAGAGAGAGAGACUGUUAUGAGGACAUUGAGGAGCACUGGAGUGUGGUACCGGUAGCCGGUAGGGGCGUGUGGUGUGGUGCGUGUGUGUGUGACUGCGUGAGAGUGGAUUCCUUGGGGAUGGGAGUGGAGACUGACGAUGAGUCCGUAUGCCUGGGAAGACGAACAGAGACGUGGCCGGAUAGGGGAAAAAUUUUAGUUGGACUUGGAGCGGAUUCAUCAUUCAAUUCUCAACUGAUUCAUUUCAUCUUACACUUUUCAACUAUCUGAGACACUUUUGUCCUCAAAUUGUAAAAUUUAUCUCACUUUGAGAUACAUUUUAGGGCUAAGUACAAAGUAUAUUUUAGGGACUGAAUUGGAAGAAAUUUUAUACAUUAGAGACUCAAUGACCAAGUUUUAUACUUUAAAAAUUGAAGUAUAACGAAUUUUAUAAUUUAGAAACUGAAGCGUCUUAUUUUGAAAUUUAAGAAUCAGAGUGAAAAUUCAAAUUUAAUUAAAGGGUACAAAGUGGAAUUAACACAUUCUCGAUCAUGGGGUGAAAAUUAAAUCAUGUAAGUUAACAUUUUAUUUAUAAAGUGAUGUUUUAGAAUUUCGACGGUCAGUGUGGAAUUCAAUUAAAUCAAGCGACUUUCAAUUUGUGCUAAAAAAGAUUGAUUGGUUCAUUCUUUUUUUUUUUUUUUGUCAAAAGAUUGAUUGAUUUGUUUGCUGUGCAAGAUUGUGAGAUGCAAACUACGAGGAUGUUCAUUAUUAUUUUUUUGUGGGAAGGAUUCAUUGUGGUAUUUUCCUAGCAAAUUCUCUAAUACUACAAUUUAAUGAUUUAUCAGCCCACAAAUAAAAAGUUUCAAUUGAUAUGACUGGUGUUUAAUCCUCUUUAAAAAGAAAUUACAACUAAUAGACCGAAUUUACCACAUUUAUAAUUUCGACCGAGUGAUGACAGGAUCGUACGUUCGCAGUUGGGGCUUCUCAAAUAAAAAACAACAAAAACAGGACUCCGGCCCCCAGCCAGGAAAGCGUAGGCUCGUAGCUGGGGCAUUUGGUAAGUGGCAACGUGUGCUAAAUUAGUGUGCAUAUUAGCCUUACUUUCACGAGGAGGCGCGUGGACUGUACGUGAUGAGUUUGUAAUUUGAAAGGUGGUAAAAUAUCUCCCUACUUCCACUUUUCCAUCUUUUGUCUGUUUUUACUACUGUAAAUUAAAGCAUGUCUGCAGGCAUCUGAUUCCUUCAUAUAUAGGUUUGCUCAUUCAUGGCCUUGCAUUUGGUGACGUCUGUUGGUCGGGUCCUUUCGAAGACAGAAUUGCUUUUUGGUUUGGUGUUUAAGAGGAAACUUCAUAGCAAAGAGGUUGAAAGCUAAGGAAGAAUUCUUGUUCCAUGCAAUGCAUGGUAGGAAUGUGGCACCUAAUUCUCUGUAUUUUGGGUGGCUGUAACUAAGCAACUAAAAGGUAUCUCCUGCCUCAUCAUGUGGGUCCAUUACCAUAUAAAAGGGCUAAAAGUAAUUUAUUUUGGUUCAUUGUAAGAUGAAUAACAGUAGUGUCAAAUUAUUAUACCUACGUCGUUUCCGUAAUCACAUUCUCCUAUUAUCUUUUUCCCUCACACACAUCAAAUCGCUAAAGUAAUUUUUUCAUAAAAAAUUAUGAAAAAUACAAUCCAAACACAAUUUCAGAAUAAUCUAUGCCGUAGUGCUGUUUGUAGAACACAUGUCACGAGUAUAUACUUGUUAUAUGUAAAUCCCAAUUAAACUCAACUAAGUUCUAAGCCUUACGUAUAGGUGCUGAACAUUAAUUCAUUAAUUUAUUUGAGUCCCUUGUGCUAAGUCAAAAAGAGAUCAAACUUGAAUUUUGAUCCACUUAAUUUAUUAUUAUUAUUUACAAAUAAUCGGCUUUGUUUGGAUUGGGCUUUAUUUCUCAAAAUUUAUUUGCUUACAUCAUCAUUACAAUUUCCAAUACACCUUUUUACCUUUCCAAUUACCUUUUUUAUCUCACAUAUAUCACAUCACAAAAAAUGCUACAGUAAAAAUAUCUCUAAUAAUUCACAAUCCAAACAGACCUGAUAUUUUGCUCUCCAUUUUUAUUAUACAAGAAAAUUUUAAAUAAAAUUAACUGUGAUCAUCAUCACAAAUCAAAUCAAUGUAUGUCCUAAAAAUCUUGGAUCGCCUGCAUGAAUUUAGAAAAAAAAAAGAAAAAAGUGAUCCGCGCUGCCACUGCCGGUCGAGGCGACAUAAGUUGGCACACGCAUCCUGCUCUCGUUUCUCAGUUUCCGGUGAACGAGUCUCCGGAGGCGCAUCUUGUGAAGCUUCUGAGGAAUCACGCUCGCUAGUGGUAGGUCCCUAAAGCGCGUGAAAUGGCAGAGAAUUUUGGGGACCUCAGCGCUUUCUUUCUUGUUUCUAGUAUAACAGUAAAAGAAGAUCGCAAAAAAAGCUGACAUUUUGAUUUCCUACAGCAGAAAAAGUUAACAAAACAACUGUACAAGGUUUGUUAUAAUUAUAAAAUUGUACGUAGUCAUUGCUAAGUAACCCUGGUGGUUUUAUAUCACAACGACUUACUGCUAAUAAUUGGAAUCAACUACAAGCGAAAAUGGAAUUUGUUUUCACCUGUUUAAAUUGUUAUUUUUUGAAAUUUUUAUAAAAAUAUUAUACAUACAUAUAUAAUUUGAUGCACGUAAAAUAAAAAAAUUAUUAACAAAUGCAUUUAAGAAAAAUGUAAAAGUUUUUCAAUAAAUAGAAAAUUGCAAUCUAAACACCGCCACCUUGGUAAGAAGAUUAUCCAUUUCAUUCUUUGGAGUUUGGAGGGAGGGGAGAGGAAUAUCAUGGUCAUGGAACUGGUUGAAUCCCUCGCCUAAGAGUAAGACCAAGCAUGCAAAUAAAAUCAACAAGUCUCGGUCAUAUGAAAUUAUUUGGGUAUACAUGCAUUUAAUUUCGGCUAGCCUCGCAUAUGGAGUGAUGAAAAAUUGCUCCGUUAGAGAAAAUACCUGUGCAGUAAUUCAUCUUUGAUUUCAUUGUCCGACUCGUACUGGGAAAGAGCAAAGCCCAAGCUGAAGAUUACAGUGGAGAUCUAGAAUUUAUGUAAGCCCUCUUUUGCUGGCUGUUCAUUUAACUUACUUGUACCGAGGCCCUUGUCUUAACAUUUUGUCAGGAAGCCAGUGAACGCUACUCUCCUCUCCUCCUCGAGUCUUUUUUUCAACCAUCUAAACCCAAAGCGGCAUCCUGCUUUUUGCAGCUGUUUGCUAAUUGCUUAAUUAAUUGUACGGAAGUACUUCUUCAUUUUGUCACGGAGCCGUAACGCGCUUCUCUUCCUCCUCGAGCCUUUUCAGCCAGCUAAAACCAAGGUCGCAUCCUCCUUUUGCAGCUAUUUCAAAUUGAUCUCUCGCCAUCUCAAGUGGAUUAAGCUCGCUCCUUUCCCCCUUAUUUCUUUGUAUUCUGGUCAGGGAUCUCCUUUUUGUACUAAAUCUUUUUAGCGAUUCUGGAACUUCCGCACCUGAAAAAUGACAUCAAUUUCAUGCUUAAGGUAAUUAAAUUAAAGUUUAGUAACAAUAAAUGCGCUUCAUCAGAAUGAGUCAACAGAGCAGGGAAAGAAAACUUCCCAGCUGAAUCCCAUGUUACAUUUGUUACUCAAAUGUUUGCGACAAAUAACCUCCUGAACCAUGUAGAUUAGAUUAUAGAAAUGUUAUCGUUGCUUUAUAAAAAAAAAAAAAAAAAACCUCCGGAACCGUGUCAAUCUCUUAAAGGCAAAUAACCAAACAGUUUCUUUCUCAACCAAAUUAUGUACAUCACAAUAUUUUCCACCAAUAUAGUAAAUCAAAGCACAAGGCUGAAAAAGAACAAGGGCAUCUUGCCUCUAAGAAGCAGGGACCCAUACGCUAUGGCGGCUCCAGCAUGACCCUGCAGAAAAGUUGACAGCACAGUGGAGAAAGUUCAGCAUAAUUUCUGAUAAGGAUAAUUCCCACAGGUGAAAAGUUAGUCAAAGUUUCUUAUUGACCCUUUAAUCACUAAUUAACAGUCUAAGAUCUCAUAUAGGAUACCAUGAUGCCUGUUUGCACUAUGCAACAGACAAAACAAAAUAUUUGCUUUGUGCUUACAAAAUACACACACAUGUAUGUUUUUGCUUUGCCAGAUCACUUUGCAAGAAAUUGGCGGAAGAAUGGUACUUCAAUUUUUUUUUUUUUUUUCAAAGCAUCAUGACUAAGUAAUUACAAGUUGCACUACAAGAAGCAGAUAGAUGAAAGUUAUUACCCUCUCAGAAGCCCUAUGGAAACACCAUAUAGCAGAUGCAACAUCUUUCUUCACACAAUCUCCAGUCAAAUAGACAGCACCUAAGAGGUAAAGAGCACCUGGAUGCAACUAGAUAUGUAGACAGCUUUGAUAAGCAUAUUUGGCAGACUGUAACUAGGCUAUGGUAUAAGAAUAAUAUCUAGCACAACAUACCUGGUCGACUGCCUUCUCUAAAUAGUAGAAAGCCUGUUGAUCUGAUUGAACAUAGUCAUUCUGUGAAAAUCAGUUCAGUCAGCAACGCAAUUACACACAUAUCAGCCAAAAUAUUUUUGGGUUUCAACUAGUGCUUGUCAAUCAAAUACACCAUUUCUUGAACUAAAAUGCUAACAUGCACAAUUCUAUGCACAUGAAAGCUAACCUCAACUCUGAGUCGGCAACCUAAUUCAUAUUGCGCAUCUUUAUCACCCAUGUCAGCAGCUUCCACUAACAAAGCAGCUCCUCUGUUGUGAUUGAAGAAAAACAGUAAGACAUGUCCAUGAAGAUGAAAUAGCAGAAAUAUAAGAGAAAUGAAUAUGGUUUCACAUGAAUAGCACAACUCCGUGGAAAUUCAAUGGACAAAACAUGUAGUCGAUCAUUUUUUGUCUUUAGAAUUGGAAAUCAAUUCUAAAUGUCCAAAUGAAGAUAAAUUGUGGAAUUUAUUCGAUAAAUUUCAAAGCAAAGAAUUCUAGUUCAAUGAAAAACAUAUGGCAAAGAAAUACAUAACUAAUCAUAUAACAUACUUAUUAUACACACUCUCUCCAUUUCCAAAUGGAUCGUUUAAGAGGGAAAGUACAACAUCCUAUCACAAAACGGGUGUGCAAAUGCAUCUUGGACUAUAAUAACUGGUCAACAUCACACUAAUCAUUACAAUUGUUUGGAAAAAACAAAACAACAGAAUUACAAUUGGACUUUUUUAAGACAAUGAUUUUGUGUUGGUUACCAAUAUUUAAAACCUGAAAGCAUCAAUCAUAACAGAAGAAAAAAGAAAAAUCAAAAUUAAAGGCAAAUUGGAAAAGUUUAGGUUCUUACAUAGCUUUACAUGCACCAGGGGCAUGAUAUUUCAGAUGCAGUUUUGACAACCAAUAUCUUGCAUGGGUGUUUGAGUUGUCAGCCUCUAGGGCCAAUUCAAAGUUCUCCUUUGCUGUCUAAUAUAACACCGUAAAAGAGUAAAAAUUUGCAAAACAAUGUGAGAUCUCUAGGGCACAGAAAAUUCUCAAUAUAAAAAUAUACAACUAUAUCUUCUAGUUGGAAAUAGAGACAGUAUAGUUUCAGGAAUACCUCCCCCCUCGCCCACCCCCCCCCCCAACAACCAAAAAUACCAAAAAAAAUAAAAAUAAACAAGAGGAAAAAGAACUACAAAGAGAAAUAAAAAGUUAUGCAGGAAAAAAUGGUCAAUCAUGGGAUAUCUCCACUUGCUUCUAUUUCUAAGAUCUUUCAUUUACUUAAACAAGCCUGACAUAAUCUCAUUUAGCUAAUGAAUUACAAUCUCUUACAAAUGUGUUCGCAAACAUCUUAGUCCCCAACGCUACACGAGUAAAUGAGUGAAAAUAAAAUCCUACCUAAGUUCAGCCUUGGAAAUUGUGCAUAUAAAUUUUAUUACUCCUAAUUUAUGAUUAAUAAUGAUAGGGUGAUUAUUAAUGAUGUCCUUUCUAGGGUUGUACGGGACAUUGGCCAGGCAGAAGAGACAAUGAGAUUAAGAACUACUGGAACUCUCAUUUGAGUAGAAAACUGCACAAAUUCAAGAAGUCAGAUAGCAAAAGUAGUCCACCACCAGGUCCACCACAACCAGCAGCAGAGGUGAUGGAUUUAGUUAAGCAUGGAGGCAAAGCAUUAAAGAAGCGAAAAGCCAGUCAAAUGAAUCAAUCCAACAUGAGGAAGAACAGAAGGAGCACCAAUCCAUCACAAUCAAAAGAAUUAACGGGACUGGCUGAUGCAAUGGUUCAAAUGCCGCGUACCCCAACACUUGAUAAAGAGACUUUGUCUAGUGCAGUCUCUUGGGAAGAUGGAGAUACGAGUAAAACUCAUGGUUUCCAGUAGUAUUAUGAUGGAACCAUGCCCCAAAAAAGAGACCAGAAAAUUUGGCAAGCACUACUAGAACCAGUGAUGUAUGCACCCCUGAAGACGGAGAAACCAAGAGCAGUGUGAUGUUGCAACUUGAAGGUGAACUGAUGACAAGGGGUUCUGAUGGAGUUGUGGAAUUAUCCACAAAGGCCAAUUUGGAAGAAAAGGCCAAAAGGAAAAAAAACUACUUACUCUGUAGUCAGAGCAAGAGAAACCAAAAAGGACAAUUUGGAAGACUAUCAUCACAUCUAUGGCUGUAUCAUCAGUCCUAUGGUUGACUAGAGUGAAUCAGAUGUUAAAAUAAUCCAAUUCCAAUGUCCAGAUCUUGAAGGUUCAUAGCAAAAAAUUCCACCAAGAUAAAUUCAAUAUCAACAGAUAAAAGUGACUUAUCAGAAUUUUAUCAAAAUAUCCAAAAGAAAAUGUUUAACCAAGAUCAGGAAAGAAAUUUAUCAGCUAAAAGUUUUGCGUUAUCUUCAAUGCAUCAAUCGCACAGUAGACAUUUAUGCAGAGGAAAUGCUGCAAAAUCCUCUGCCACUUGUCUACAAGCUACCAAAUGUAAGGAUGGGAAUAACACAAUUGAUGUACUUAAAUAUGAAUGCAGUGAGAAUACUUGAUCAAACUUACCCUAAGCAUAGGGAUGAGACGGUGGUCAUUAAGAUCACAAUAAUCUAUCACUCUAUCAACUUCCUUCAGAGCAUUCCAUCCUUUGGCAAUGAACUCCAUUGCUUUCUUGUUUCUACUAUGCAUGCCUCUCUGUCAAGUAUAACAAGUUAAGUCUAGGUACUACAACUCAUAUAACUCCUCCUGCUAGUAUUGCAAACUUACUUGAGAAUUGAACUGGGAAAAAUGAAGGCUAUUCCUUGUAGAAGCCGUCUUUGAGAGCAGUAAUCUCAUCAUCUUUUCCGUGUCUGCACUUGGAAAAAAAAAUGAAUGUACUAAGAUCCAGACACUGGAGCAAACACCAUAACCUUUCUAUUUGCCAACAUCAACGCUAUGCACAUAAGAUGCAAACAAAAACUUUGGCUUCCCUAAUAAAUGAAUUUAAAAAUAUGACAUACUUGUACAUUGAAAUGCAGAGAGGCAAGGAAAACGGGAAAAGUUAAAAGAGAUAUUCAGGCAUAAUAAUUUCUAGUAAUGCAAGCCUUAUCUCGACCUCACCUCAGGCACCCCAACCCCAAUUAACAAAUGUCCACCUCGCUAGUUCAAUGCAUUUUUUCUCACUCCCGUGCUUUUUUUUCUUUUUUGGAUCGUCCAAUACAUUUUUCUUGCUCCUGUGUUUUUUGUUAUUUUUUUCUCCUCCUCCUUUUAAACACCACAAAAUCUUAAGCAAGAGGUGAGCUACUGCACUGGACUGGACAUAACCACAAACACCUAACGCGCAUUAUAUGAACUGCACCUACGCAUACAAGGAAAAAAAUUUCCCUAGUUCCUCAUUUGAUACAACGCGAUAAUAAUACCUUUAGGUUGUCUCUCUCCCUGGCUUUUGAGACUUCAAUGGCGGAAUGAUAUCUUACUUACUAGGCGCUCAGCUCAGCCGCCAUCAGCUUCUUGUUUCGCUGUUGGUACAGAAGAAGAAAAGGAGGAGAAAAGAGUUCGUAUGGACGGAAGGGCAAAUUUGGCGGAUAAGAUGAUGAGCUAACCUUCACGGAAAUGAUCGGGUUUACUAUUUCAUUAUUCAACAGGUGCUCUGCAUUUGUAAAAUUAGGCCCGGCUCAUGAUUCAUGGGUUCCAAAGUCGAUUGGCCGCAGUCUUGCUGGGAUUUGUUGGGCACUUGGUCUACUACUGACAGUGACACUGCUCGACUCCCAAGACGGCAUUCCUUUGACACUUGUAAUGUUGUACUACUAAUUGCUGUAUCCUCUUUUGUAAACCGACAUCUUUUCCUAGGCCGGAAACCAUCCCUCAUUGGCCCAAAAUUAGCCAUAAACAAUCUGGAUGUCGUAAUCCAUGCACCUUUUGGAUAUAAACUCAUACAAUCUUAUUAUAAAAAAUUAAAUUAAUUAACGGAUAUAAUUAAAUUUAUGUAAAAUUUAUAGUAAUUACAACAAAAUUAUACAAGUUUUUUUCAAAUUUAGUAAAAAUUACGCGAAGUAGUCUGAACAGGAACUCAGGAGACGCUGGAUGCAAAGAAUCGAUUAAUCCAAAGAGUUUUUCCCUUUUUUCAUCCUAAGGUUAGUAAACGAGAUUAGGGUGAUGCUGAGCAAGUAGUUCAACUCGAAACCGCGAGCUAUUCUGUCAACAACAGCUUGAUUCAAUCUCGUUUUGAUUGAAUUUGAGCUGCUUGUCUGAUCCCGUGAGUCGAGUUCGAAUUUCAAUAUUUUGUAUCUGAAGAUUGGAGGAGUCUAAUCAAGCUUUUUAUUAUUUAUAUAUAUUUAAUUUUUAUAUUUAUUAUUAUGAAAUGUCAAUAAUAUUAUUUAUUUAAAGUUACAUGUAAAACGCUAAUUUUUAUCACGUAAGUUUGAUUAAACUCGAUUAUGUUCGAAUAGAUUCGAAAUUAAAUUUAAUUAAAUUCAAACUUGAGAUCAAGUAAUAUAAAUUGAAAUUGAAUUCAAGCUUCGCUUCUAAAAAUUCAAUGAGUUCGAACUUAAUUAUUUUAUCUCGAAUAUUGCACUGUUUGAAUUCGACUCGUCAAAUAAAAUGAGUAGAAAAAAUCUGAAUUGGGGUCCCACGUUAAUAUUCCACGCCACCUGCCCAUGAGCCACGAAGAGAUUGCUCUUCUUUAACGUGUUUAAAUGGCUAAGUCUGAUUGGGACAAGGGAGAUACUGAACUUUCGUAAUAAUGGCCUGUUUGGAACCUGAGUUUUUUGGGAGUUUGUCUAAAACUUUACCAUAGUACACUAUAGAAGUUUUUGAAAAAAUUUUGUAGAAGUUUUUGUAAGGUAAAAAACUUUUUUUUUCUUUUUUUUUUCCUUUUCUUUUUUUUUUCUCUUUCCCUUUCUUUUUCUUUUUCUUUCUUUCCCUUUUCUUUUCUUUCCUCUCUUUUUCUUCUUCUUCUUCUUCUCCGUCACCUCCGCACCCCCAGCAGCUCCCUCCCCCCUGCUGCCCCGCCUUCCCCCUCCUCCCGCCACCUGCCCCUUCCCCCCCCCUCCGCCACCUUCUGCCCCUUCCCCUCUACCCCGCUGCCCCCCCUCUGCCCCGCCUUCCCCUUUCCCCCGCCGCCCUCUCUGCCCCCCCUCCCCCGCCGCCCCCCUUUGUGCCCCCCUCUGCGUCGGACGUAGAGAGAAAAAAAAAAAAGACAAGAGAGGAUGAUGGCAGGGGAGGAAGAGGGGGGGAGGGAAAAAGGGGGAAAAAAAAUUCUUGUCCGGCACCGGAAAUUGGUGACGGAGCCGGCAAUGGAGGUGGUGGUGGGGGAGGAAGAAGAAGAAAAGGGGAAAGGAAUUUUUUUUUGUUGUGUUUUGGAUAUUUUAAGUGUGUAAGUUAAAAAUUUUUGAUAAAUUUUUUGGGGUUCCUGCAACAAAAGUUGUUAAAAAACUAGUUUUAUACAAACAUGGUGAAAAACCAAGCUUCCAAACAGGGUUAUCACUCUUGAAAAAAAGGAAAGUCAAAGGUCAAAAUUAGUGCAAAACUAAAUGGUCAAUACAAGAGCAAAAGUGAAGGGACAGAAUUGCCAUUUACUAAUUGCUUUGUCAGCAUCGCUAACAUCACCGCGUUUUAAUAUAAUCUAACUUCCAAAAACAGCGAAUUUCCCGGCAUUACAAAUAUCAAGCUAAGGCCUUCCCUUGUCGCUCCAACAAACACCAAAUAGGCAAGUAACCAGCUCUGCUAAAAAUAUUUGAAUAUCCCAAAUAUCGGAAGACAAGAUGGGGGCAGUCAAUAUCUGGAACGCCAUCGAAGUUGCAGAGAGCCAUACCUCUGACAUUCCGUCGUCUUCCCUCACCAUCGACCACUCCCUACCGCCUUCCGAUAUGAAGCCGCGGAUCGUGUAAGUUUAUCUUCUUUCAUUUCCUGUUGUUUCAGAUUCCUAAGUCGUUUAAACUAAUUGGAGGCAGAUUAUUUUUGGGAUAGUUUUGUGUUUUCAGCUUCUUACGAGCUUUCUGUUGAAUAUGCUUUAAAUACAUGUGCUCUUCUGUUUAGUUAUGGCAUAAAAUUUGAGUGUUUUAUCUAAUUUACGAUGUUGGCCCAAUGGUUGUUAGCGGAUUUAAAUUCUGGAGAUUAUCUCUGUGAUCUUAGUUUAUCUCGGCGUGAUUUGAGCUGUUUCAUCUCUAGACUGACUCAUUACACGGAUUUGGGGUUGGGGGAGGGUCAGUUGAAUUGAUGAUUUUAUCAUCCUUAGUUAAAAAGAAUGUGACUAUCAAACUUCAGUGCUUUUAACAUAUGCCUCGGUGGAAGUAAUUUGUUUUGAGAUAGGAAUGUCCAAAUAAAUGCUUCAAUCUAGUAAUUUUUUGAAUGUUCUGAUGAUUUUCUCUGGUUUUACUUCAGAGAGCUGUGCAAGGACCUGUUCAAGAAGUGGUCUAAUUUGGACGAGUCUCACUUCUCUGUUGAGAGAGUUUCCGGUGGCAUAACAAAUCUAUGUAGGUUUUCAGUUUUGUGUGCUUACGAGUAAUUAAGCCAUGAGCAAUGCUUGAUUUUAGUUGGAACUCUGUGUUGCUGCGAACACUGCUUGAAUUUACUUGGAACUUAGUGUGUCUGAUAUGCAUGAAAAUUACAGUGCCUGAUUUCUGGUUAUUAAUGUCAAUAUUUUUUUUUUCUCAAGUUUAAUUACGGUUGAAUUUUAUUUGAGUAAUAGUCAUUUACUUUUUGCAGUGCUAAAGGUUUCUGUUGUGGAAAAAAACGGGAAUAUUGUCAAUAUUACAGUAAGGUUGUAUGGUCCUAAUACUGAGUACGUCAUCAAUCGUGAAAGGGAACUACAGGUGAGUCCUCAGGCUUGAUGUUGACGUGAUCAACUCAAUGAGAUUAUUCAAUUAUCAAGUGCAAUACUUGUCUGCUUUAUUUUUAUUACAAUUCUGUAAAGCCGCUUUACACUGCUAAAAUUUGAAGUUGCAUUUGUUUCUGAUGUAGUGUCAGUAACUUCAGAUGAUGCUUCUUCUUUAAAACAAAACAGUUUAUCUUUCUAAAUUUUCUGCUGAUCAUUUCGAGAAAUUUCUACUAUUUUGUGUUGUCUUAGAGAUGCUAUGUAUUCAUACGCUCACAUUGUGAUAUUCUUUUUUAUUGCUUUACUGACAUAGUAAAAGAAACAAAAAGCUGUUACAAAGUGGUUGUCUUCAUGGGAGAAAUUCUGGGUUGGCUAUCGUGAUUUUUUUAUUCUUGGAAAUUCUUUAUCACUCUGGUACUGACUGCAAUAUAUUUUUAGGCUAUCCCAUACCUUUCAGCAGCAGGAUUUGGUGCAAAGUUACUUGGAAUAUUUGCGAAUGGAAUGGUGCAGUCAUUUAUUGAUGCACGAACUCUGGCUCCACCUGGUAAAUUUUUGGAAAUGCAUUGAAGGAAAUAAACAUUUUCCAAUUACAACUCACUUGACUCAAAUUAAAUGAACUUUAAUUCAUGCCAUCUGGGUUGGCUAUUGGUUGCAUGUACAAGAAAAUGUAAAAUUGCUCCUUUUCCUUUGGGAUUUGUUUAAACUCUUGAUUUUUAAUUCAGUUUGGGAACCUUUCUAAGUUGUUCUUCUGUCUGGAAAUAAAUUUCUAGUGGCUUCUGGUUUUCGAGCACGAGUAUAUGCACUCAAAAUGCAACUUUGGAGAACAAACAGAAAUGAGUUUUUUAGUCUAUAGGUUUAGGACAUAUGUAAAUGGUCCUUCGGUAAGUUCAUGCUAUUAUUAAAGAAAAGUGGACAUUAUUUUGGAUGAACUUAAUAAAAGCUCAGUACACAGUUUAACUGGGUUGGAGAGAGUAAUUCACUAGUCUAGGUACAUGGAUGAAAAUUGUAAGGAGCCACUGACCUGAAAUUAGUUUUGACAUUCAUCCUUGCUAUGGAAAGUUUGCCUUAAAUGAUGAAGUUUGACUUUUUAACAUGGUGUGUCAUUGUUGAUAUGUUUUACACUCUUGACAGACAUGAGAGAGCCAAAGCUAGCAGCUGAAAUUGCUAAACAACUUCGUAAGUUUCAUCAGGUGGAUAUACCAGGUUCUAAAGAACCUCAACUGUGGAAUGACAUCUUCAAAUUCUAUGGAAAAGGUCUAUACAUGGGAUGCUAUACAUCUAUAUCCAUAUUCUACUUCCUGAAGGUUUUUGCUCAUUUAAAAGCAUUAUGUCUGUCUUCCCUUGUUUUUGGUCAUGUCUGAGUUGCUUUUAUUGUUGAAUGCAGCGUCAAACCUCAACUUUGAUGAUUUUGAGGAGCAGAAGAAGUAUGAAACAAUUUCAUUUAAAGAAAUAAUUAGUGAAAUCAUUGAGCUCAAGGUAUUAUCUCCUCUGACUUCUUGUAUCAUCUGUAAUCCAAUAUGUUUCUCUUUCUUCCUCUUAUGGAACUGGGUGACUUAUCAUGACAUAUCUUUCUGUAUAAUAUCUUCUUGUCCAUAAAUUUUGGUGUAUGCGUUUUGCGAAGACUAUUGGCUAUGAUUGAGUGGUAGUGAACAUUGCAUAUGCAAAGGAAGAAUGAAAAUAUAUUGGUUUUUUUGUUAAGUUGGGUUUGAGAUUCUGAUGUUUGAUUAUAGCAAUCUUUGAGGAAUAUCUCUCUAGUAAUGCAGUCCGUUUUAUCAAGUUGAUGGCAUAUUGUCAUUAAAUUGUUGAAAAGUGUUUGUUUGGAUUGGUUAUUAUUUGCAAAAAAUUUUUGAUUGCAUCAUAGAUACGUUUCCAAUCACCUUUUAUCUUUCCAACCGCAUUUUUAUCUCAUAUAUCACAAAAAGUGUUACAGUGUUAUUUAAGAAAAUUUCCAAAUAAUCUACUAUCUGAACAGACGCAGCCACCUAAAAAGUUGUCAAAAUAGGAUUUCAUGCUGAAGUCAAAGCAUGGUUUGGCUUUUGAAUACACAUUUAUGAGUUUCUGAUGAUUUUUAAAUUUCCUUCUUCAAAUGUUUUUCCCUUUUUUUUUUUAUUUGAGUAUUCUUUUGGAAAUGUUUCUCUGUAGAUAUAUCAAUGGAGAAUGAUUCUUCCCUUUCCCGGAGUCAUGAAGUUAUCUGUGGCAUGAUAAGCUAUUAAUUUUUGCUUGAAACAAUUUCUGUUUUACACUGUUUAUUUUCCUUUGUAUCAAUUCUAAACCAGCAGUUUUGUAUAAAUUUUCUAAAAUAGAUAAUUUACUCGGCUCUAUGACAGAUUGAAUUUAGUUCUUUCUGUCAUUCAUCAUAAAAGUGUCCGUGUGUUGUGGCUAUGUCUUGGAGUCAAGCUUCAGUGUGGGAGCAUGUUACCCUGUUUAAAUCGAUACAGUAGUCUUCUCUCCAUAGGUUCAGUUUCACAUGAUGUGGUAAAUAUAUCUUUGUGGAACAGGAAUUGACUGGAUGUCUUGAUGCCCCAGUAGUCUAUGCUCAUAAUGACUUGCUUUCAGGAAAUUUGAUGCUUAAUGAUGAUGAAGGUAUUUAUGCCCAAACCUAAUGGUUUUUCUGUUGAGACUUCGCACCCCUUCCUAAUGUUUUCCUGUUGGGGGUGCUCUAUGUAUGCAUAAAUGUGCACACCCACAAAUUAACUCCCAUUUCCUUUGUUUCCAUUUAUUUGUUGUUUUCUAGAAACCUGGACAAGUUGCACCGCAUCAUUGCAUCUAUCCUUUUGCCUAAAAUGCAAUAUAUUAGUUAUGGGUUCAGUCCUGCAAGUUGAGAUACUGUAGGCUUGAGUUUUUCCAGCUAACUUAUAAAAUUCAUUAUGAAGCACAGGCCUCUGAAUCAUGUAUGAUAUUAAACUUGACUAGGAAAUAUCAGUUCUCUAGCUCAUUUGGCUUUGCUUGAUUGGCCACUGUCUAGUAGUGAAUGGGAACAUGUCGAAUAAGGAUUUUGGUCGAAAAUAGUCGUCUUUUUCUUAAGGGGUGAUGCGUAAAUGGUUCUUCAUGGGAAGUCUGGAGAUUAACCUAUUCUCAACAUUCAUUCUGAAUUAGUAGUUGAUACCACUAUUUCAAUUUGACCAAUGACUGUCUUUUGAUGAAUGUGCAGAAAGACUCUACAUCAUUGAUUUUGAGUAUGGAUCAUAUAGUUACAGAGGUUUUGACAUUGGGAAUCACUUUAACGAAUAUGCUGGCUAUGAUUGUGACUACAGCUUGUAUGUCAUUUCAAUCUUCUCUUCCACUCAUUUGAUGCUAUAAAAAACUUGAGGUGAUAUGGAAAAUUUAUCUGCAUGUAGGUGCCCAAACAAGGAUGAACAACAUCAUUUCUUCAGACACUAUUUAGACCCUGAAAGACCAGAGGAGGUAUGUGUUUACUGUAAACUCAUUGUACUUGCCAUUAACAAUUUUCUUUUUCAGGCUAUACAAAGUUGUGUGUUCUAAAAACUUAACCUAGAUAGGCUGUCUCCAACUCGUAAGAUGUGAGCAGAUCUCAUGGCUUGAUGGUUGUAUAUAUUGGUGAAUUGGAUUUUUUUUUGUUUCUUCCCACCUGAAAUACUAAAGUGGAUUUCUGCUAUGUAUUUUAGGAAGUUAACUGUGAUGGCUGUCAAAUGCCAAUUGCAGGGAGAUGAUUGUAUUUCUCCUUCUUCUUCUUGGCUUUACUCUAGCAGAAGUAUUGAUGACUGACUUGCUGUUGGUUAUGGACCUGGUCUUUGCUGCUACUUAAUUCAGUUUCUGUUACUUUAGGCUUUGUUACUACGCUGCUUUCAAAUAUCAUCCUUUGUAACACUAGUUCGAUUUUUUGUAUGUAAUCUGUACAAUUCAGCUUUGGUUACUAAAGUAUGGUAAAGUAGUUUGUACAUAUGUGGUUCAAGAUCAUUCUAUGUUGUUACCUUUAUCCCAUUCUGUUCUUUCAUCCACAUUAACCAAACCAGAUUGCAGAAUGAUUUGAGAUAUACAAUUAUUUCAUCAAGUAAAAGCAUUAUUGUCAAUUUGAAAAAUCACAUGUCCGGGAUUCAUAUAGGAAGAUGGACGAAUGUUUUAGUUACAAUAAGCAACUUGUCGUCAUAAGCAUUUGGGACAGUAAUGUGUUUCUGAUGUGAAUACGUAGGUGCUCUGACAAUUUUAUUUCUAGCUUCAUUGAUGGUUAACAUCUUUAGCAUAUAAGAAACUCGAAAUGUGUCUCACGAACUUUUUAUGCAAUUUGCUGAACAUGAAAUUAGUCAACUGAGUUGCCUUUGACAUCAGGUAUCUGACAAAGAUUUGGAAGCUCUUUAUAUCGAGACAAAUAUGUACAUGUUAGCAUCACACUUGUAUUGGGCGUUAUGGGCUUUAAUCCAGGUAAUAUUUCUUUGCCUUCAUUAGUGAGCGGUGUUUUCAGCAUCCCCUUGACUGCUGGAAUAAAUAUAGCGAAUGUAGGGAACAGUCAGAGUUGAAGAAAUUUUGUUUAACUAUUGAGUAUCACACUUUUCACAGGCAAAAAUGUCUCCAAUUGAUUUCGACUAUCUUGGUUAUUUUUUCUUGCGGUAUGGCGAGUUCAGAAGGCAGAAAGAAACCUGUUUCUCAUUGGCAAAAGCAUACUUGUCAAGAUCUCACACACGGUGAACCAUUGGUUUUACAAUUCUAGGUAUGCUGUGAUUCUUUUGUAUGUUGUGAAAGUCAUAGUAAAGCAGUAGAUCUCUCUUUGUUGUUGUUGUUGUUUGUCAGUUAGGACUUUAAAUAUUUCUUGUAGACUGGAAAACCAAUUGUGUUUUUCCAGAUAUUCGUAAUAAAAUUUUGUAGUAUUUCUUUUUCAUGCGUCAUAUUUGUUAUUGAUUAGUACUAGCCUUUCGGGGGCGCGUGUUGUCGAGACUUUCUGCGUUUUGAAAUUUCAUUCCUAUUUUUGUUUGCAUCGUGGGUUGAGGUAAAAUCUGUUUGUCACUCCGUUUGAAAGCUCGUGAUUUUGAACGUAGCACUUAGUGGCAUCUGGCUGGGAGACGACAAUCUUAAUUGCACAAUAAUGCCCCGAGGAUUCUGUCACAUGCGUAAUCAGCAUAUCUAGAAAUCUUUUUUCCCCAUUUCAAGGAGAUAGAAUCAACACUCUUAAAUCGUGAUGGAAGAAUAAAAAUUACCCUAGAAUGCCAGCAUGUAUGUAGCUACCGUAAGAAAAACGGGUUUUUAUUUUUAAUUACAACAAGAUCCUCUUUGAGAAGCCGCCCAGUCUCCUAGUCCUGAUAUGCUUCUAUGUCGAACUCUUAUGCCUCGAUCUUCUAACCCCUCAGAAUCUCCACCUUGGACGGUCUUAUGUAUCGCUAUGGCUGUGCUUACGAACGCUUCUUCAACAUUUUGAGCAGUCCUUGCUGAGCACUCGAUGAAUAUUAAACCAUGCUUCUGGGCAAAUUCUGAGCCUUCUUCGGUGCUGACGGCCCUACUGCCAUCCAAGUCAGACUUGUUGCCUAUCAGCAUUAUGGUCAUGUUUUUGUUAGCAAGUUCCUUGAGGUCCUUCAACCAAGAAGCAAGAUGAGCAAAACUUUCCCUGCUCGUGACAUCAUAAACUAGGACUGCCCCAGCAGCACCUCUGUAGAAACUCUGCGUUAUUGACCUGAACUUCUCCUGGCCUGCCGUGCCCCACACGUGAAGUUUUGUUUUCUUCUUGUCCGCUCUGAUGAUUCUAGUUCCAAACUCAGCACCCAUGGUCGGAUCGUGCCCCUGUUCAAAUCGUUUGCUGGUGAACUGCUUAAGAAGGCACGAUUUACCAACUCCGGCAUCUCCUAUUACAAUGUAUUUGAAGAGAUAAUCGUACGACAUCUUGGAUCGAAUUGGAAUAAUGCACGAGUAUUAGCAACGGCUGGAGGUUGUAUGUAUAGGUUGAAACUAGAGGAGAUACAUGGGUUUAUGUACUGGAAUAGAAGAGAGAAUUUACUCCUUCCUAUACGUACAAGGAUCCUAACGUAAAUCGGAGAUGGAUUAGGAGACGUCAGAGUUGGAGAGACCAUCGUUAAGGAUUCAUUAUUGUGUUGGUUUACGUUUUUUUUUUUCUGGAAAAUCGAUUCCCUCCUAGAAAAGGAUUUGCACAAUCAAAGAAGUUUGUAAUUCGAUGGUAGUUCAAUCCAUCUGCACAAUCAAAGAAGUUUGUAAUUCGAUGGUAGUUCAAUCCAUCGACUCCGUUAUAGGUUCAAUUGACUCUCCUCUAAAUUAGACUAGAAUAGAAAUAGAAUAGAUAAAUGACGAAUGACAAAAAAACAAACAGUGUGUAGUAACACUGUUGUUCUGUAGGAUGCGAUGCUAUACUUAAGCAUGCUUCCUUGGCAUUUUUAUUUUUUAAACCCUUCCACCCAUUUCCACAUCCUUUUCACGUCCAAUUGCUAAGCAUAGAAUUUGAACCCUAAACCCAAGAAAUAACUGUAAGAACCCUUCCCUGAUCAUUGAGCUAAACAUGCUUGAUAUUAAGCAGGCUCAAUUGAAAAAAAAAAUCCAAUUCUUAUUCAUGAAACGAGUAUAAAGAAGGAUAUCCAAAUUAUCUAUUUGCCUUUACGUAUUUUAAUACCACAAUUAAUAUGAUCAGGUAUUUGCUGAAGAAGAAAGCGGCAUAUAUUUAACCAUUCUACCCAGAAAAUUUCCAAGAACUUUUCCUGCCACAACAUUUUGUAGCUUAGAGAAGCAAAAAUGAGAGAUUAACAUCUAAUAGUUUAAUUAAUAUUCAACUAGGCUCACAUUAAACAUCCCAUUUGAAUCAGACGCAUUAAACAUCCAAUUUGGCUCAAAAGCCAAGCACCAUAUAAGCCGGGAAAUCAUGACAGGCCAAGAGGCCACGGCACCGAUGCUAACUAAUGGAAUUGCAAUAUGUACAACAGAAUGAAGACUUUAACCAGUUUGAGAUGCCGCAUCCAUACGUAGAACAACCAUGUAUCACAAAACCUUUGCUCUGCUUCUUCAGUCUAACAAGUAAAACCACCAUUGUUAUCUACCCAGAGUCUAGAGAGGACAGAACUAAAUUAAUCAUACAUCUACGAGGACAAACCUUGCUUGUCAAAAGCCAUAUAGUUAAGAGCAUAUCAAAUUGGGGAAGCAAAUAAGGAUAUAAAUAUUUUGAACCAUUUCUAUUUUCCAAGUGUAGUUACAAUCUUCAAGCCUGAAGAACCUGGCAAUGAACUAUAUGAUGUUUAACACGAUUCCUACCUGCAAGGCCUGACAAGAAAUUUGUAACCAAAGUCUUCAACUGCCCUUUUCCCGAAAUAGUUUCCCAUAAAUGUUCCGCUGGGGCUCCACUCCUACUGUCAUCAGAUU